CUGGCUUGGAAAACUUGAAAUGUGAGGAUUUGUUUAGAGAAAUGAAAUCCAUCAGGCUGUUCCUGCGUAUGCACUUGUAAAGACUUUCUGUUGGAUGAGUAAAGAGGCCUAAGAGUGCUGUUUCCAGCUUAUUUUACACUCGGUGCUAUACAGCUGAUACAGGUUAUUAACAUCCUGCAGCAAGUCAUCACUUCAGCCUAAAGAUUUGUG
Molecule: non-coding RNA, 210 nt
Organism: Pseudopodoces humilis (Tibetan ground-tit)
Lineage: Eukaryota; Metazoa; Chordata; Aves; Passeriformes; Paridae
Source: RefSeq, a predicted model, not a curated record